RNAcentral lists this ribosomal RNA (207 nucleotides) under uncultured bacterium. RNAcentral's name for it is "partial 16S ribosomal RNA". It matches the Rfam family "Bacterial small subunit ribosomal RNA", at positions 568 to 775 of the family's 1533-position model. The record is from RNAcentral.
UGCGUAGGCGGCCUGACAAGUCAGAAGUGAAAGGCUACGGCUCAACCGUGGUAAGCUUUUGAAACUGUCAGGCUUGAGUGCAGGAGAGGAGAGCGGAAUUCCUGGUGUAGCGGUGAAAUGCGUAGAUAUCAGGAAGAACACCAGUAGCGAAGGCGGCUCUCUGGACUGAAACUGACGCUGAGGCACGAAAGCGUGGGGAGCGGAACA